RNAcentral lists this ribosomal RNA (406 nucleotides) under uncultured bacterium. RNAcentral's name for it is "bacterial SSU rRNA". It matches the Rfam family "Bacterial small subunit ribosomal RNA", at positions 917 to 1322 of the family's 1533-position model. The record is from RNAcentral.
GGGCCCGCACAAGCGGUGGAGCAUGUGGUUUAAUUCGAUGCAACGCGAAGAACCUUACCUACCCUUGACAUACAGCGAACCUUUCAGAGAUGAGAGGGUGCCUUCGGGAGCGCUGAUACAGGUGCUGCAUGGCUGUCGUCAGCUCGUGUCGUGAGAUGUUGGGUUAAGUCCCGUAACGAGCGCAACCCUUAUUCUUAGUUGCCAGCACGUAAUGGUGGGGACUCUAAGGAGACUGCCGGUGACAAACCGGAGGAAGGCGGGGACGACGUCAAGUCAUCAUGGCCCUUACGGGUAGGGCUACACACGUGCUACAAUGGUCGGUACAGAGGGCUGCGAAGGGGUGACCUGGAGCAAAUCUUUCAAAGCCGGUCGUAGUCCGGAUUGGAGUCUGCAACUCGACUCCAUG